Molecule: ribosomal RNA, 490 nt
Filed under: uncultured bacterium
Lineage: Bacteria
Description: partial 16S ribosomal RNA
Rfam family: Bacterial small subunit ribosomal RNA
Source: RNAcentral
AAUGAACGCUGGCGGUAGGCCUAACACAUGCAAGUCGAACGGCAGCACAGGAGAGCUUGCUCUCUGGGUGGCGAGGGGCGGGCGGGUGAGGAAUACAUAGGAAUCUGCCCAGUCGGGGGGGAUAACGUGGGGAAACUUACGCUAAUACCGCAUACGACCUGCGGGUGAAAGAGGGGGAUAGCAAGACCUCUCGCGAUUGGAUACGCCGAGGUCGGAUUAGCUAGUUGGCGGGGUAAUGGCCCACAAAGGCGACGAGCCGUAGCUGGUCUGAGUGGAUGAUCAGCCACACUGGAACUUAGACACGGUCCAGACUCCUACGGGAGGCAGCAGUGGGGAAUAUUGGUCAAUGGGCGCAAGCCUGAUCCAGCCAUACCGCGUGGGUGAAGAAGGCCUUCGGGUUGUAAAGCCCUUUUGUUGGGAAAGAAAUCUUUCAGGCUAAUACCCUGGGAGGAUGACGGUACCCAAAGAAUAAGCACCGGCUAACUUCGUG